This 253-nucleotide ribosomal RNA is filed under the name uncultured bacterium. RNAcentral's name for it is "partial 16S ribosomal RNA". It matches the Rfam family "Bacterial small subunit ribosomal RNA", at positions 524 to 776 of the family's 1533-position model. The record is from RNAcentral.
UACGUAGGGGGCAAGCGUUGUCCGGAUUUAUUGGGCGUAAAGAGCGUGUAGGCGGCCGCACAGGUCCGUUGUGAAAACUGGAGGCUUAACCUUCAGACGUCGAUGGAAACCGUGCGGCUAGAGUCCGGAAGAGGAGAAUGGAAUUCCUGGUGUAGCGGUGAAAUGCGCAGAUAUCAGGAGGAACACCGGUGGCGAAGGCGGUUCUCUGGGCCUGUACUGACGCUGAGGAGCGAAAGCGUGGGGAGCGAACAGG